Molecule: non-coding RNA, 894 nt
Organism: Zootermopsis nevadensis
Lineage: Eukaryota; Metazoa; Arthropoda; Insecta; Blattodea; Termopsidae
Source: RefSeq, a predicted model, not a curated record
AUCAGAACUGAAAUCGUCAGUGUUCGUAUUCUUCUGGUGAUGCUGCUCACUGGAGACGUCAAAUGAAGGAUUAUCAUAGCCAAUGUUGGAGACACGAUUUUGGAAGUAGAAGGCUGCACCAACUGUUGGAAGGUAUCAUCGUAGAGGAGGUCUGUCAUUGGUGGAACCUCUUGGUAUGAGUUUGAUAUCCAGGAGUCAGUACUUGCAGUGCUUACCCUUCCAAAUGGUGGUGCAGUUCCUUUCCUGGAACAUCAGAUAGACAGGAGGUUGUGUUGCUUGAGUGGUCUUACUUGUUACUGGUAUUGAAGAGGUCAAGGCGCCACACGACAAUCAUGAGUAGUGUGAAUAUAGCUACCACACCCAGUGAGAUGUACAGCCAGAGGUGCAGCAUCUCUUCAUUGUCUGGCACCUGGUAUACCUGCAUAAAACAGGAGCUGCAUCAGUGUUGGUGCAGUAUUCAAGAGGCAGUCCACCACAUUCUUCGAGGUAGUUCUUCAGCUGCACCCAAAUGGCUCUAGGGAAUGGCUCUUUAGGACCGCUACAUUCAAGGAUGCCCUAGAGAUUUAAAAAUCUAUCACCAUAGCCAGCUAACUCUAGAUUCAGAUCAAGGUAAAAAGAAAAAUCAAUUUGAUACAAAAAGUCACCAGUAACAUAACAAAAUUCAAGGGCAAUUUGAUUUUUAUAAAUGCUGUGUCUGAAAUUUCUUGGCACAGGAAGGUAGUGUUUCAUAAUUAUGGCCUAUUAGACAUUUCAUUAAAAUCAUAGGUGAUUAUGUGUAAGUAAAGCAAGUAAAGCUGUCCCACUAUACGCCAUGUAGCGCUUGGGGGGAGUGGAGGUAUAGCUCCUACUCAUUCUUGACCUCGGCACUAGAUGGGGGUGAGUGGUCAGCAUCAC